Molecule: ribosomal RNA, 777 nt
Filed under: Triticum aestivum (bread wheat)
Lineage: Eukaryota; Viridiplantae; Streptophyta; Magnoliopsida; Poales; Poaceae
Description: partial small subunit ribosomal RNA
Source: RNAcentral
AUGAACCACGUCAAGUCGGCUCUUCUCUCAGGCCACCGCCCGCACCGUCUCGCGGCGGCGGCGCCGCAGCAGCUGGCGGCCACCGCGUCGUUCCACUCCACGCCUCCCCUGCAGCGGAAGCGCAAGACCCAGUGGCAGCACAGGUUCAAUUUUUAUGCAAAACGCAGGAGAAAUAGAGACACAAAAAGAACAAUGAUACGGAAUAUGUCUGAGUAUGCGGAGCAGCUCUUCAAUAGUUGGCGUGAUGAAGAUGAGAAAAAAGAUGCAUCUAGUGGACCUUCAUGGUUUAGAGGACACCGUUGGGUCAGAGAUUCGAGGAAUAAUGGUUUCCGUUCACAUGAGUUUUAUUACGAUACUGUCAAAAGCAGGGGGGGAUUUGAGUUUUGCACAAGCGAUGAUGAUGAUGAACCAGAGACUGUUUUUCGCAAUGCUUUUCGUGGGAACCAGCACACAUAUUAUUGGUCUUUUGAAUCUGAUGAUUUUCCAAGAAGGAAUUCAAGACGUUCUCAUUCAGAAAGUUCUGGACACUGGAGUUAUGAAACAGACGACGAGGGCGAAAUAUCCACCCAGACAGAGGUAUCUGUGGCGUGUAAGGCUCUUGGAUUGAGUACUUCUGGCCCACUAAAACUCGAAGAUGUUAAAAGCGCAUACCGGACGUGUGCGCUUAGAUGGCAUCCAGAUCGUCAUCAUGGCUCAUCGAAGGCUACCGCAGAGGAGAAAUUCAAACGAUGCAGUGCAGCAUACCAGACUCUGUGUGAUAGUUUGGCUACUGCAUAA